CCUACGGGGGGCUGCAGUGGGGAAUAUUGGACAAUGGGGGCAACCCUGAUCCAGCCAUGCCGCGUGUGUGAAGAAGGCCCUCGGGUUGUAAAGCACUUUCAGUGAGGAAGAACGCCUGGUGGUUAAUACCCAUCAGGAAAGACAUCACUCACAGAAGAAGCACCGGCUAACUCCGUGCCAGCAGCCGCGGUAAUACGGAGGGUGCGAGCGUUAAUCGGAAUUACUGGGCGUAAAGCGCGCGUAGGUGGCUUGAUAAGCCGGUUGUGAAAGCCCCGGGCUCAACCUGGGAACGGCAUCCGGAACUGUCAAGCUAGAGUGCAGGAGAGGAAGGUAGAAUUCCCGGUGUAGCGGUGAAAUGCGUAGAGAUCGGGAGGAAUACCAGUGGCGAAGGCGGCAUUCUGGACUGACACUGACACUGAGGUGCGAAAGCGUGGGUAGCAAACAGGAUUAGAUACCCCGGUAGUC
RNAcentral lists this ribosomal RNA (465 nucleotides) under Vreelandella stevensii. RNAcentral's name for it is "partial 16S ribosomal RNA". It matches the Rfam family "Bacterial small subunit ribosomal RNA", at positions 338 to 795 of the family's 1533-position model. Lineage: Bacteria; Pseudomonadati; Pseudomonadota; Gammaproteobacteria; Oceanospirillales; Halomonadaceae. The record is from RNAcentral.